CUCACUUUCACUCCCUCUCCAUCUCACUGGAUCUUUUGCCUCUCUUGUCAGUCAUACACCGUUCUGUUCAGUUCUGUUCUUGUGUGUUCAGCUCCACCCUUCACCGUACUGUUGCAGACGACAGUUGCUACAGUAGAGGAAUGAUGCUUAUCGUUGCCAAUUUCCACUGGCCCUUCAGUAUUGAUUUGAGAAAUCAGGCAAAAGAUUUCAGAUUCAUAACUCUAACUCAAUGGAAAACAAAGCUAAGGUGGUCAUAAAUUUAAGGGAAGAACAAGAAAAGAGGUGAAAUAAAAGUUGACAAUAAAUUUCCGUGAAGAAAUGAAACACGAAAAAUAUUCCUAAUACUUAAAAAAAAAAGACAGAAAAAACAUAUACUGUGUAUUCGGUGAGUGAAAUGUUUACUUAACAAACUUAAUGUUUUAGGAAAAUAUUCAUAUCAUUGAGGAAUGUUUGUUUAUUGUAUGUUUUCUCAAGCAAUAACUAUAAGAGAGAUAAAAUUUGAGAACAAAAGAAAACAAUGAACAAACUUAAAGGAUCAACUUCGUAACUACAUAUUCUAACAAGGCGGACAUAUAUAUAUAUAUUCAUUGAAUUUCGAAAGUAGUCACCUAAAAGUAUAAAAGGUACGCUAAAAGUACACAAAAUAAUAUACUCACUCCGAGAAACAAUAAAGAGAAGGAAAUAAAACUAACGAAAAAUGUCAACUUGAAUAACACAGGGAAAUGUUAUUUUACUGAAUUUACUACACAUAUACGCAUACAUAUAUUUUGCAUUAUUAUAUAUGUAUACAUUACUCGUAUAGGAUCAUAAGUUAAGUUCACGAGUUCACAUUUCGUUCAGACUUAGUUAAACGGAAAACAGUAAUAAAGAGAAAAUUUUAAAAUCCUUGAAGAACCUGUGGAAGUAAAAGGGAGAAAAAAGGCCGAAUUCCUCCUGGAAUAGCAUGGCCACAGUUGGAGAUGUACACUGAUUUGGGUCCUUGUGAUCAAGAUUCCGACGAAUGUAUUUCUCUGAAUGAGUUUCACGUUUGUAACCAGGAAUGCCCACUUCUUUCCAAAGG
Molecule: long non-coding RNA, 1060 nt
Filed under: Octopus vulgaris (common octopus)
Lineage: Eukaryota; Metazoa; Mollusca; Cephalopoda; Octopoda; Octopodidae
Source: RNAcentral